This 3092-nucleotide long non-coding RNA is filed under the name Homo sapiens (human). RNAcentral's name for it is "HSALNT0317924". Lineage: Eukaryota; Metazoa; Chordata; Mammalia; Primates; Hominidae. The record is from RNAcentral.
GACUCCGUCUCAAAAAAAAAAAAGAGUACAGGGCCAGGGUCCUUUUCCAUGAAUCUCUUUGAAGAAAAAGCAAAUUUGAACUGCAGCCAGUUGUAAAUCACUUUUUGAGAAGAAUCAAAAUAGAGCAAUAAUUGUCUAUGAAUGGCAAAAGACUUCGGGUAGCUAUAGUUAAAGAUGUAAUUAACAAGGAAAUUUGAUUAUUUCUGUGGCAUACAAUAAUUUAACAUAAUAACUAUAAUUAUGUGUGACAACAUAGACGUAUCAGAAUGUUAGGAAUCUCAUAACUUGAGAACACACAUUCAUAACGUAUCUAUACAAAUAUAACUCAAACAAAUUUAAACACCAUUUCUUAUUUGACAAAGCUUCCUGUAUGACUUUAACAUACCACGGUGGCUUAAUAUGUUUCUCUUGGGCCACAGGAGUUCCUUCUUAAAAAGGAAGAUUUAGCACACUUAAUUAAAAUAGGAUCACAGGUCAGUGUAAAACAAUAGUCAUUUAUUUUGCCAAAGUGAUAAUUUAAAGAUUUCAAAAAGCACCCUCUUUACUCUUUGAUAGAGAAGAGACCCGGUUUUCCAAUCAAAAGGCCUAAUAAAGACAGCAUGAAGAAUGAGAUGAACGGAGUCUUUUUUUCUCUUUUUUUUUUUUGCAGUUUACUCAAAAGGUAAACAUGAGUCUUUUAUUAUCUUAUUAAUAUUAUAUGAAACUCAUGUUCAAAAGAUAAAACCAAAUUCUACCUUUGUAUCAGCAUAUUAUUAAUGCUAAAGGUAAUUUAAUAAAACCUAAUUAUCAACAAAUCCAUCCAAUCUCAAUCAUCUUUGGCCACAUAAGAUUUCCAUAAACCUUUUAUAAACUCAUAUAAUUUUAUAUUAAAGAAUAGAUGGAUGCUUCAAGAAAACCCUGUCAUUCCAACAUUAAGGCCCAUACUCUGACCCUGCAUCAAUGUGCUUUUCAUAUUAAUGCACAGUUUCCUCAGUUUUUGGAAAAACUAAAUAAUUCCCUUCUAAUUUUAGCCAACUUGAUCACACACAAAAUUCCUUUCAUGAGAUUAAUCUUCCACAAAUCUUUGUUUUUUUUUUUGAAACAGAGUCUUGCUUUGUCGCCUAGGCUGGAGUGCAGUGGCACGAUCUCAGCUCACUGCAACCUCUGCCUCCCAGGUUCAAGGGAUUCUCCUGCCUCAGCCUCCCCCAGUAGCUGGGAUUACAGGUGCGCACCACCACACCCAGCUAAUUUUUUGUAUGUUUACUAGAGAGGGGGUUUCACCAUACUGGUCAGGCUGGUCUCAAACUCCUGACCGCAAGUGAUCCACCUGCCUUGGCCUCCCAAAGUGCUGGGAUUACGAGCAUAAGCCACCGCGCCCGGCCUCCUCAUUUAUUUCUACCUUUUUGUGCUUCUAUCUUGGGUCACCAUGCCCGGCCGUAUCUCCCACAAACCUUCUACAGUUCAUGUAACCUUCAAUUUUGGCCUAUACUUCCUUUUUCCUAUUGGCAUUCCACCUUAGGAAAAAAGUUUAUUUUCUCCCUUAUCAUUUUGACCACACAAAAUUCUUUCUCAUGUAAAAGAAAACAAAUUACUCUGUCUUUUCAAUUUUCUUUUAUUUUCUGUAUAUAAAAUUGUUUAUUUUGUAACUAGUAGUUUUAAUUACAUAUAUUAACUCCCAUUUUAACUUUUCUUUUUUCUUUUUUUUUUUUUUUUGAGACAGAGUCUCCCACUGUCGCCCAGGCUGGAGUGCAGUGGCACGAUCUUGGCUCACUGCAACCUCCACCUCCCAGGUUCAAGUGAUUCUCCUGCCUCAGCCUCCCAAGUAGCUGGGAUUACAGGUGCCCACCACCAAGCCCGGCUAAUUUUUGUGUUUUUAGUAGAGACGGGGUUUCACCAUGUUGGCUAGGCUGGUCUCGAACUCCUGACCUCAAGUGAUCCACCCACCUUGGCCACCCAAAGUGUUGGGAUUACAGGCAUGAGCCACUGUGCCCAGCGGGUUUUGCCUUCUUUUUGUCUUCACUGCUGCUACAGAAUGUAUUUGCAAGGGAGUCAACUCACAACUGAAGAAAUGAAAUUAAUGGUCACUUGAAGAACUGCAUUAACUGAAGAUGCAGCGGAGUAGCCUGACUCAGGUCACAAAGUCACUUCCCUCAUAUUGCUUUAAAUUAGGUUGCUACCUUAUCAGGUUGAUAGCCUGACAUUCCCCCUACCAUGGACAUGACACUCUAGGAAUGAGCCUUCUAGCAAUAAGGGACUAAGGUCCUGAACAUAAAAGGAGCCAAAACCAUUUGAGUUCAUCUAUGAAGCUUUCUUCCAAAGAUCUUGAUGAAAAGGGGGAAAUGUGAAGUUAAAUAAUUCAAGCUUAAAGCUGUUGAAACCUCGAAUUAACCUGAGCCUUGAGAGCAAUGUGGCUAUGCAAUCUCGGUCACAUGGGUUGCAGCUGCAACUUCUGCCUUUAUUUCUUCUUGUUAGUAAUUAAGAAGACCCAAGCUGCACCAGAGAUGAGACCCCCUCAGAUCAUUGCCCCUCCUCAUGGAGUAAUAAAGUAAUCUUCCUUGGUAUGAAGCAAUCUGUAACCAAUCCAAUUGCUGUGAUGUAUGCACCUGGCCUUGUAGGGUAGCUGAUGUAAUCUUCCUGGAACUUCUCUACUGAUAUCAAUGAAACCUUAACUCCUCCACGUUGGAAACUCUGAGCCCAUUCCUUUGGAGUUGGUACUUUCACUGGUAGCCAUCCUUAAGCUUUGCACUUGAAUAAACUCUAUACUCAAUCACACUUUCUGAAUCUCAUUCUUUAAGGUUAACACUUCCUUCCAAAGGCUCUAGGUGACAACUCUUUGCCUCUUUUCAACCUCUGGUGGCUCUAGGCGUUUCUUGGCUUGUAGCCGCCUCACUCCAAUGUCUGCCUCCAUUUCAUGUGGGGUCCUCCUCUGUCUUCUAUGUGUCUCUUACAAGGUCACUGUCAUUAGAUUUAGGGUUCAGGAUCAUCUGGGAUGAUCUCAUCCCGAGAUCCUCAAUUUGGUUAUAUCUGCAAAGAUCUUUAUUCCAAAUAAGGUGACAUUCACAGUUUCCGAUGGUUAGGACAUGGCCAUCUCUUUUUGGAGGUCAGCUUUCAAC